AAUAGCGUUUCUUUAAUAGCGCUUUUGCCUCUUUCCCUAUCAAAAAAUUAAAAAUUAUCAUAUUAUAGCGCUUAUUAAAAAAAUGCUAUAAUAUUUCAACAUAUUAUAGCGAUUUAGUAGGGCGCGCUGUCAUAUGAUGACAUGUUUUACAGGGCUUCCAACAAAACGCUAUUGAAAACAUAUUUUUUAAAAAAUAAAAAUAAAAAUAACAAAAACUAAAAAUAAAAAUAAAAACUAAAAAUAAAAAUAAAAACCUCCUAAAACAUUUUUGUUCCCAAGUUUACUCUGCAAAACCCAAAAACCUCAAACCUAAGACUCUCCAUUGACGCGAAACCUACCACAAUUCUCUACGCGGCGGCGAUUUACGGUGGUGGAGAUUUAGGUGGCGAAGUUUUCUUUUCCCGGUGGUGCUUCUUCCGACGGAAUUUCAAAUUUCAAGGUGCAGAUGGGUGCUAUCAAUCUCUACAUUAAGAAAUGUGGUUAAUGAAAUGACAGAGCAAGGAAUUAAUGUUUCUUCCAGGAAUGGACGGUGAUGUAAGCGCUUUGACGUAAUGGGAGGCUAGCAACAACCCAACACCUGGCAACUAUGGGUUCUCUUUGCAGACCCAAGAGAGCAAAGAUAAUACAUUGGUUAUUUUGGAAAAUGGAUGACCGUCUUCAUGACUGUAAUUGUAGCCUACUCUUGUGGUGCUGCUAAUUACACAGGUGGAUCAAAUGAGAUGUGCUUGAUGUGGAGUAGUGAACUUACUGACUUACAAGAGGAGUAUCAGGACGGGCUUACUAUCUUUGUUCGCAGUACACCUUCUGAUAUAGAAUUGACUUCUAAAGACUGCAAGCCUUGCGGGACUUAUACUAUUCCCUAUCCGCUUUGCACUUCUGUUGAUUGUGGAGAUCCCUCAUACUUCAAUUUUCAUUGUAAUGUGGAAACAGGGCCUGACAGUUUCUUAACUUCCAAUGGCACCUUCAAAGUCACUUCAACAGAUCUUGAAAAAAAAGAUAUUUUCCAUCUAAGAUAUCAAACAUAACAAUUCGUGUGAUAGUAGAUUUUUAGACUUGGUUCUUCUAUCACCAAAGCUUUCCUUCCCGUACAUGUUGAAAGCUGCAAAGUUGUUAAGGAACCAUCUUUUUUAGAAGUUCAAAAAUCCUUUGUGGAAAUUGAGAUAAGCUGGAAACCACCACCAUAACCUGCUUGUACUAUAUCUUCAGACUGUCAAGUUUGGCCUCAUACUACUUGCAAAGUCGCAAGAGACAGUGAAAGAAGGUGCAUUUGUCGAAAGAAAUUUCAUUGGGAAGAAAAAUAUAUUAUUCUCAAGGUUGUGCCUUCUUGCUUAGCUGGUGCGUUGGAAAUUAUUCUUCUGUGUGGGAUCUUCUUUAUUUAUCAAUCCCGGAAGGGAAGACUUACUGAACAUCAAGGUAAGUACGUUUUACCAAUUCACUUCUACAAAUUAUAGAUUAUUCCCAGUGAUGACUGUCUUGCUUAUACUUCUACUGCUGUUGACUGUCAUGCUUCUACUGUCCUGCUGCUGUGUUUCUAUGACAAUUAGUAUGGCUGAUGUGUUGCUAUGUGUUUCUAUGACUGUCAUGCUUCUACUGUCCUGCUGCUACUUAAUAUGGACCCAAGUAGGCAGUACAUAGGACUGCUGGAAUUUCUUCACCUUUUAAUACAACAGAUCCUUAUUAAACCCAAUCACUUCUAACAGGGAUAACAAAGCCUCACGUCUUACACUAACAAACUUGGGACAGUAGUGAGCUAACAAACCCACUAAAAUUGAAAAGAAACAUACAACUUGAAUUGAUUUCCUCCUUCUUUUCUUGGUUGAGACUCCCAACUUUCAAAAUAAAAAUUAUAUAGACUAGUAGAAAAUGGGUGUUUUAUUUGAUAAUAGAUCAAUCUAAGGGGAGGAAUUAUCAUUACUAUGAUUAUUUGCAACAAAGUGAAGAAGUUGACCAGAACACUAGUUGAAUCAUCCAUUUGUAAGAUCUGAUUAUUUUUUUAUAAUUUAUAAUUAAAUUUCAUUUACAAAUUAAGUAAGUGCAUCUCUCUGAUCGAUUACCUGGUAAGAUUACGGUGGUCCAACUUGGCAACUUCCAUCACGAUUAAUGUUAGUUUCUAAAUAGAUGUGGUUAUGUUUAAUUCAUGUCACUUUUAUGUUAAAGAUCCCUUUUGUUUCCCCCCUUAUUCCCCCCCCCCCUUAUGUCAGUCAUCCUUCACACAGAUAAACAAAUUGAGAUACGCUGAUCUAGAUUAAGUAGAAGACUGAGUGUAGCUCACACGGUUUAGAACAGCUCAGAUCGAGUCCCCAACUUGUUGCAAUAUAUUAUGGGCACUUAUUUUAGCUGUCCAUUUGCACAUGCUUCAAUUCCUGCUGAUUUAUUUAUGGGUAGCUGGUAUUCAAUUCCUGCUAAUCCUGCUAAUAAUAGCAUUAUAGAUUCACACAAUCACACUUAGGGCUGUCAAUACCGUGCUAUCAUAUAAAUAAAGAAAUGCCUAAACUACAAGACUCCUUCUAACAAAAGACAUUAAGUUUGUCACUUUGACACCAGAUAUUAAAUCUGGUUUAGUGUCCUGUCUUACAUCAUCUCUCCUUAUCUUGGACAGAGCCAGUUUAGAUUGAAUACUUUCUAGUCAAUAAAUUUAUAUGUUGGUAACAUGGUACACUGAAUUUGUGUUCCCUAUACAUUUUUCAAUUCAUACCUUGAAACGUAAUCCAAAAUGUAGGAAAAUGAAAAUGAAAAAAUGCAGGAAAAUGCAGGAAAAUGAAAAAAUGCAGGAAAAUGAAAACAUGAAAAAAUGCAGACAAAUGAAAAAAAUUAGAGCAGACAAGGGAGAAACCGAAUGCAUUAGAUGAUGGCAUAUAUAUUUACUGAACACAAAUACUAACUUCCAAAAUGUGAAGUUCAUUUUUUUUCUUCAUGUAUUGCACUUAAUGUUAAUGUUUAUGGUAAUACUAAUUCUUUCGGGUUUUUUCCCUUCUAUAUAUGUAUGAAUUCUUAUACACCAUUGUUUCACAGUACUUUUCAAAUUGUCAGUUUCCAAGUUAUGACAAAGAGCAGAUUGACGAAGUAAUUAAGAACCGAUUGGGUGCUCUAUGUUGUUCAACAAUUGUAUAAUUGCUAGGUUAUGUUGAAGGAACCAACAAACAUAAGGCUCUAUUGAUGUAUUGAUUAAUUUAUUCUACGUAGUUUAAUUUUUAGUUUUAGUUUAGAUCUAUGUAAUCGGUUUUAUUAGGGUGACAAUUGUAAAAAUUCUUUUAAUUGAGGUAUGGAAAUUAAUUUUCAACUA
Spinacia oleracea (spinach) is the source of this 3283-nucleotide RNA transcript. RefSeq lists it as uncharacterized. The record is from RefSeq and is a predicted model, not a curated record. Lineage: Eukaryota; Viridiplantae; Streptophyta; Magnoliopsida; Caryophyllales; Amaranthaceae. The transcript has 4 exons.